RNAcentral lists this RNase P RNA (416 nucleotides) under Candidatus Megaera endosymbiont of Nemacystus decipiens. Its description in RNAcentral is "RNase P RNA component class A". It matches the Rfam family "Bacterial RNase P class A". Rfam says of the family: Ribonuclease P (RNase P) is a ubiquitous endoribonuclease, found in archaea, bacteria and eukarya as well as chloroplasts and mitochondria. The record is from RNAcentral. Lineage: Bacteria; Pseudomonadati; Pseudomonadota; Alphaproteobacteria; Rickettsiales; Rickettsiaceae.
UAAGAUGGUCGUGCAGCUUGCGUGUUGCGGUAUGUUUAUGCCUUGAUAACACGAGGAAAGUCCGGACUCCAUAUAGACACAGUGCUGGUUAACGGCCAGCGGAGAUGAUAGAUUAAAAUAUUGUCUUCAGGGAAAGUGCAACAGAAAUUAAACCGCCAUGUUUUCAUGGUAAGGGUGAAAUGGUGAGGUAAGAGCUUACCGGACUUUUGGUAACAAAAGUCGUCAAUGCAAACCCCACUGGGAGCAAGACCAAAUAGGUGCAGAUUCUUUGUGAAUUUAGCAAAGCUGGUUUGUCUAUAGCUAGUUUAUUUGCACGGGUAGGUCGCUUGAGGUAAAUGGUAACAUUUGCCCUAGAUAAAUAGCUGCAGAUAGUUGUAAAGCUAUUACAGAAUCCGGCUUACAGAUCAUCUUACUUA